CUUCUUCAUUUGAUGCCACCAGCCCCACUUUAACUCAUCUCCCACAAGCAUUCAAUAGCAGUAACAUCUUCUACUUCUAAGAUUAGCCAUCUUUUUUUUUACUUCUAAGAUUAGCCAUCUCUCACCUUUUCCCUGCCACUAACUCGAACUCUAUAUAUUGAAGUAGUGAAAAUCACUCAAACUCGAUUAAGUAGCACCAUCAUUCAUUUAUAUGAUCCAGCAUCAAAAGUCCAAAAAAAAAAUCAUUAUUAUCAUUUUCAUAUGUUCAUUUUUUAGUUCAAGUCCAUGCUCACUACUUCUUUAAAUUGGAAUCCACAACCUAGAAACUUCAUGGCUUUUCAUAUUUCUACAUUCAUUAAUCUUUCCCAUCUUCCUAGUUUGAUCUACGGGGACUAAUAGCAAUAGUUAUGACGUGUUUCUGAGCUUUAACAUGAAUUCUACAAAUAAAACCUCUGCAACUCUAUGUAGCCCUCUUCUCCGCCGAAAAUUUUCUUUCAGGGUAAAAUUCAAGACGAGUUAGCUAGAGCGUAGAGUGAUGUGGAUGAUAGUUCACCAGUUGAUGAACUCGAGGUACUCAAAAGUGCCUUGGGUCAUAGGAAUGGGCACGCACGCGGUGUUGGUCGUGUUGUUAAAAAUGUCACCCACGAAAUAUCGAGCUCAUACCCCCCGCCAUGUUAACAACAACAAUUGGAAGAAAUGCAACAAAUGCGACAAGAAAUACAAGAAACGCGACAACAACAAGUGCAAGUGCAACCAUUCUCAAACCAAGCAAUAAUGGAACUACUAC
Molecule: long non-coding RNA, 787 nt
Organism: Helianthus annuus (common sunflower)
Lineage: Eukaryota; Viridiplantae; Streptophyta; Magnoliopsida; Asterales; Asteraceae
Exons: 2
Source: RefSeq, a predicted model, not a curated record